UACCAGCACCCCGAGUGGUCGGGACGUUUAUUGGGCCUAAAGCAUCCGUAGCCGGUUCUACAAGUCUUCCGUUAAAUCCAGCUGCUUAACAGAUGGGCUGCGGAAGAUACUAUGGGGCUAGGAGGCGGGAGAGGCAAGCGGUACUCGAUGGGUAGGGGUAAAAUCCGUUGAUCCAUUGAAGACCACCAGUGGCGAAGGCGGCUUGCCAGAACGCGCUCGACGGUGAGGGAUGAAAGCUGGGGGAGCAAACCGG
This 253-nucleotide ribosomal RNA is filed under the name uncultured bacterium. RNAcentral's name for it is "partial 16S ribosomal RNA". It matches the Rfam family "Archaeal small subunit ribosomal RNA", at positions 474 to 727 of the family's 1478-position model. The record is from RNAcentral.